RNAcentral lists this non-coding RNA (167 nucleotides) under uncultured Roseburia sp. Its description in RNAcentral is "Lysine riboswitch". It matches the Rfam family "Lysine riboswitch aptamer". Rfam says of the family: Riboswitches are metabolite binding domains within certain messenger RNAs that serve as precision sensors for their corresponding targets. Allosteric rearrangement of mRNA structure is mediated by ligand binding, and this results in modulation of gene expression. The record is from RNAcentral. Lineage: Bacteria; Bacillati; Bacillota; Clostridia; Lachnospirales; Lachnospiraceae.
GUUGAUAGAGGUUGCGUGAUUUAUCAGUAGCAGGUUGGAUGCCGCAGGGGCAGAAGAAGAUUUGUGAAAGGGGAGAACGCCGAAAGGACACAUACCUGUAACUGUGUUACUUGGGCAUAAGGUGAAGAAUCUUAUGACUGUCAUCUUUUAGAUGGGGAGCUAUCGGU